GGAGAGGUGCCGGAGUGGUCGAACGGAGCUUCCUGCUAAGAAGUUGACCCUUUACUGGGUCCGAGGGUUCGAAUCCCUCCCUCUCCGCCA
This 90-nucleotide transfer RNA is filed under the name Candidatus Harrisonbacteria bacterium CG10_big_fil_rev_8_21_14_0_10_49_15. Its description in RNAcentral is "tRNA-Ser". It matches the Rfam family "tRNA". From Rfam's summary of the family: Transfer RNA (tRNA) molecules are approximately 80 nucleotides in length. The record is from RNAcentral. Lineage: Bacteria; Candidatus Harrisoniibacteriota.